This 497-nucleotide ribosomal RNA is filed under the name Stenotrophomonas maltophilia. RNAcentral's name for it is "bacterial SSU rRNA". It matches the Rfam family "Bacterial small subunit ribosomal RNA", at positions 41 to 525 of the family's 1533-position model. The record is from RNAcentral. Lineage: Bacteria; Pseudomonadati; Pseudomonadota; Gammaproteobacteria; Lysobacterales; Lysobacteraceae.
GGUAGGCCUAACACAUGCAAGUCGAACGGCAGCACAGGAGAGCUUGCUCUCUGGGUGGCGAGUGGCGGACGGGUGAGGAAUACAUCGGAAUCUACUCUGUCGUGGGGGAUAACGUAGGGAAACUUACGCUAAUACCGCAUACGACCUACGGGUGAAAGCAGGGGAUCUUCGGACCUUGCGCGAUUGAAUGAGCCGAUGUCGGAUUAGCUAGUUGGCGGGGUAAAGGCCCACCAAGGCGACGAUCCGUAGCUGGUCUGAGAGGAUGAUCAGCCACACUGGAACUGAGACACGGUCCAGACUCCUACGGGAGGCAGCAGUGGGGAAUAUUGGACAAUGGGCGCAAGCCUGAUCCAGCCAUACCGCGUGGGUGAAGAAGGCCUUCGGGUUGUAAAGCCCUUUUGUUGGGAAAGAAAUCCAGCUGGCUAAUACCCGGUUGGGAUGACGGUACCCAAAGAAUAAGCACCGGCUAACUUCGUGCCAGCCGCCGCGGUAAAUAA